AUGCAGUUUAUGUUGCUUUUUAGUCGUCAAGGAAAGCUUCGACUGCAGAAAUGGUAUGUCCCACUAUCAGACAAAGAGAAGAAAAAGAUCACAAGAGAACUUGUUCAAACCGUUUUAGCACGGAAACCUAAAAUGUGCAGCUUCCUUGAGUGGCGAGAUCUGAAGAUUGUUUACAAAAGAUAUGCUAGUCUGUAUUUUUGCUGUGCUAUUGAAGAUCAGGACAAUGAGCUAAUUACCCUGGAAAUAAUUCAUCGUUACGUGGAAUUACUUGACAAGUAUUUUGGCAGUGUGUGUGAACUUGAUAUCAUCUUUAAUUUUGAGAAGGCGUAUUUUAUUUUAGAUGAGUUUCUUUUGGGAGGGGAAGUUCAGGAAACAUCUAAGAAAAAUGUCCUUAAAGCAAUUGAGCAGGCCGAUCUACUGCAGGAGAGCCAGAAUGAAGAAUGGGGAGGUUUGUCUGAGGAUAUCUUAUGAUAAAGAGCAGUCUAAGGCUUUAGUCCCUUUGACCCCCAACUUAUUUAUUGGAUGCAAAAGAAGCUGAAACCCCACGUAGUGUUCUUGAAGAAAUUGGACUGACAUAACUCUCCUCCCUUGUUGAUGACUUCUUGUGGCAUUUCACACACUGUAGAUGGUCACUGCCUUCAUGUCCAUGUUAGCUAAUGGUGUAAGAAGAUGUCUUGUCAGUAUUACUGUUUUGCUAAGCUGCUUAACACAGGCCUACACAAUUUUUUUUAAAAAGGGAACUUUGGGUUAAUCAAAUGAUAAAUUAAGGGACUUAGAUAUGAAUUAGAAUGAUGCAGAAAGAUACUUUUUCUGGAGAUUUUAAAGUUUAUAGGUCAGUUUCUUUUAAUCUGAUUAUGUGCAUAUAUGAAAAUGACAUCUAUAUAGAUGUAAAAUCAAAUAAUCAGGCAAUAUACAUUUAUUAAUUACUGUAUUUGACAAAGGAGACUUAAAUUAUAAUGUGAAACCUGGUUUUAUGAAACCAAGCACUAGUGCAGCAUUUCAAUGUAUAUAAGAAUAAAGGGAAUUGACAUGUCACAUAUCGAGUGAAAAUUUAACUCUGUUAAAACUUAACAAAUUUUUACCAAAGAUCUGUACUGGAAACUACAUAUCUUAAAGCAAAGGGAAUAAAUAACUAAAUUGGAAUAAUGCUGUUUUACACUAAAAUUUAUUUCUUAGGCAUUCGAACCUGGGAUGACAAACAUUGUUUUAUAAUGGUGAGCACAUAAUUUUUAAGGCCAAGGCACAUUUGAUUCCUGAGAUGAAUUUUUUGUGGUCAUAAUCAUUUAGUUGGUUUCCUUUUGAUGCCCCCAAAUAAAGUGGGUAUGUUAUUUUACCAGGAAUUCUUCAUAAUAGUAUCUUACAGAAAAUGUGUUACUCUCUUCACAGAGUGUGGAGUGUAAAGUCACUGUUAAAGCACUAACAUUCCUUAUGGGUGCUUGUUAAAGCCAAAUUUAUUUUGCUUCCCUCUUCUUAGAAGUGCUGCAAACUUUACAACAGCUUCCUUUCCUUCCAUGGCACUGCCUAGUUAUCAGAAAUCUUAUAUAAAUUUUAAAAAGACACCUUUCAUAUAAAAAAGUGAGUUAAGUGAGAGAAAAUGGCAUUAGUUGGCCCUAUAUUUUUUAAAGCUAUAGAAUUGUUCAGCAUCACUUUUAUACAUACUUAUACGUAUCUAAAUAUGUCUUCAUGGUUUACAUUUUCACUUGUAUAUGCUGGGCUGGAUUAAGCUUUGUAAUUGUGACCAAUGUUGAGGCUACGUGAGCACUGUCUUAUCACAUCGCCAAUUCGUUAUAAUAAACGUUCAACGUACAAACACUGUAGUGUGUUUUUAUCUCUUUCCAAAAGUUUGUCAAACUAUGGAGAGCUGAUGAAAGAAGAAUUUUUCAUUUUUUUUUUUUUCAGUAAAAUGUUGACAAUUCCACUCCAUUUGAAUGUGGUUUUGUUAUAAGCACACACAAGAUAAAUGGUGGAAGACUUAAGGAGGCCUUCAUGUACUUCAAGUUCAUUAAAAAUAACAUGUAUUCCACGCUACCAAGAGCUUAUCUACACAUUUAUUUUCAAUCAAUAAAUGCCGCUUUUAAAACCUUGA
Molecule: RNA transcript, 2086 nt
Organism: Galeopterus variegatus (Sunda flying lemur)
Lineage: Eukaryota; Metazoa; Chordata; Mammalia; Dermoptera; Cynocephalidae
Gene: AP1S2
Gene name: adaptor-related protein complex 1, sigma 2 subunit
Exons: 6
Source: RefSeq, a predicted model, not a curated record